GAUGAACGCUGGCGGCGUGCCUAAUACAUGCAAGUCGAGCGAACGGACGAGAAGCUUGCUGCUCUGACGUUAGCGGCAGACGGGUGAGUAACACGUGGAUAACCUACCUUUAAGAGUGGGAUAACUUCGGAAAACCGGAGCUAAUACCGGAUAAUAUCUUGAACCGCAUGGUUCAAAAGUGAAAGACGGUCGUGCUGGCACUUAUAGAUGGAUCCGCGCUGCAUUAGCUGGUUGGUAAGGUAACGGCCUACCAAGGCAACUAUGCAUGGCCGAACUGAGAGAGUGAUAGGCCACAUGGGAGCGUAGCCACGGUCCAGACUCCUACGGGACGGAGCAGUAUGGUACGGGCCGCAGUGGGCGAAAGUCUUACGGAGCAACGCGGCGCGAGAUAUGAAGGUGCUCCGUGCGGAAAACUCUGUUAUUAGGGAUGAACAUAUGUCUAAGUAACUGAGCCCAGCGUGACGGUACUUAAUCAGAAAGCCCCGGCUAACUACGUG
This 497-nucleotide ribosomal RNA is filed under the name uncultured bacterium. RNAcentral describes it as "partial 16S ribosomal RNA". It matches the Rfam family "Bacterial small subunit ribosomal RNA", at positions 28 to 507 of the family's 1533-position model. The record is from RNAcentral.